Molecule: ribosomal RNA, 253 nt
Filed under: uncultured bacterium
Lineage: Bacteria
Description: partial 16S ribosomal RNA
Rfam family: Bacterial small subunit ribosomal RNA
Source: RNAcentral
UACGUAGGGGGCAAGCGUUGUCCGGAUUUAUUGGGCGUAAAGAGCGUGUAGGCGGCCAGGUAGGUCGGUUGUGAAAACUGGAGGCUCAACCUUCAGAGGUCGACCGAAACCAUCUGGCUAGAGUCCGGGAGAGGAGAGUGGAAUUCCUGGUGUAGCGGUGAAAUGCGCAGAUAUCAGGAAGAACACCCGUGGCGAAAGCGGCUCUCUGGAACGGUACUGACGCUGAGACGCGAAAGCGUGGGGAGCAAACAGG